Molecule: transfer RNA, 73 nt
Filed under: Tethya actinia
Lineage: Eukaryota; Metazoa; Porifera; Demospongiae; Tethyida; Tethyidae
Also listed under: 1 other name
Description: tRNA-Gln
Rfam family: tRNA
About the family: Transfer RNA (tRNA) molecules are approximately 80 nucleotides in length. Their secondary structure includes four short double-helical elements and three loops (D, anti-codon, and T loops).
Source: RNAcentral
UAGUGGUUAGCCAAAAAGGUAAGGCAUUAAGUUUUGAUCUUAAAGAUUAUAGGUUCGAAUCCUGUACUUCUAG